UACGGAGGGUGCAAGCGUUAUCCGGAUUUACUGGGUUUAAAGGGUGCGUAGGUGGGCAGUUAAGUCAGUGGUGAAAUCUCCGAGCUUAACUCGGAAACUGCCAUUGAUACUAUCUGUCUUGAAUAUCCUGGAGGUGAGCGGAAUAUGUCAUGUAGCGGUGAAAUGCUUAGAUAUGGCAUAGAACACCAAUUGCGAAGGCAGCUCACUACGGGAUUAUUGACACUGAGGCACGAAAGCGUGGGGAUCAAACAGG
This 253-nucleotide ribosomal RNA is filed under the name uncultured bacterium. Its description in RNAcentral is "partial 16S ribosomal RNA". It matches the Rfam family "Bacterial small subunit ribosomal RNA", at positions 524 to 776 of the family's 1533-position model. The record is from RNAcentral.